GAGUUUGAUUCUGGCUCAGGAUGAACGCUGGCGGCGUGCUUAACACAUGCAAGUCGAACGAUCCAGCACUCAACUACCAACUACAUUUUCAAGAAGAAACGAAAGUGUGGUUAGUAGUUGAGUGCUGGAGAGUGGCGGACGGGUGCGUAACGUGUGGGUAAUCUGCCUUUGUCAUGGGAAUAACUGCUUGAAAGAGCAGCUAAUACCGAAUAACAUAUGCAAUAGGCAUCUAUUGGAUAUCAAAGAGAAAUCGGACAAAGAUGAGCCCGCAUCUGAUUAGCUAGUUGGUAGGGUAAAAGCCUACCAAGGCAACGAUCAGUAGCCGGCCUGAGAGGGUGAACGGCCACAUUGGAACUGAGACACGGUCCAAACUCCUACGGGAGGCAGCAGUGGGGAAUAUUGCACAAUGGGGGGAACCCUGAUGCAGCAACGCCGCGUGAGUGAAGAAGGCUUUCGAGUCGUAAAACUCUGUUGUAAGGGAAGAUAANGACGGACCUAAAAGAAGCCCCGG
Molecule: ribosomal RNA, 511 nt
Filed under: Filifactor sp. canine oral taxon 164
Lineage: Bacteria; Bacillati; Bacillota; Clostridia; Peptostreptococcales; Filifactoraceae
Description: bacterial SSU rRNA
Rfam family: Bacterial small subunit ribosomal RNA
Source: RNAcentral